CUUGAUGAAAUAUGAGAGGUCCAGCCUGCCCAGUGACCUAGUUCAACGGCCGCGGUAUCCUAACCGUGCGAAGGUAGCGUAAUCACUUGUUCUUUAAAUGAGGACUAGUAUGAAUGGCAUCACGAGGGUUAAACUGUCUCCUUUUUCUAAUCAGUGAAACUAAUCUCCCCGUGAAGAAGCGGGGAUUAUUUUAUAAGACGAGAAGACCCUAUGGAGCUUAAAACAAAUUUACACCUGCUUUAAUAUAUAACCCUCCCGAGGACUCACACAAAUUAUAGCAUAACUGAUAAUUAGUUUUCGAUUGGGGUGAUCAUGGAGAAAAAACCAACCUCCACGACGAUAAGGGGGAGCACCUCCUGAGCCAAAAGCCACAACUUUCAGCACUAAAAAAUUAACGCACUUUGACCCAAUUACUUGAGCAACGAAC
This 427-nucleotide ribosomal RNA is filed under the name Boana cf. fasciata ABGD cluster 39. RNAcentral describes it as "partial large subunit ribosomal RNA". It matches the Rfam family "Bacterial large subunit ribosomal RNA", at positions 1834 to 2457 of the family's 2925-position model. RNAcentral also lists the same sequence under 1 other name. Lineage: Eukaryota; Metazoa; Chordata; Amphibia; Anura; Hylidae. The record is from RNAcentral.